RNAcentral lists this ribosomal RNA (270 nucleotides) under uncultured archaeon. RNAcentral describes it as "partial 16S ribosomal RNA". It matches the Rfam family "Archaeal small subunit ribosomal RNA", at positions 477 to 747 of the family's 1478-position model. The record is from RNAcentral.
CAGCACCUCAAGUGGUCAGGAUGAUUAUUGGGCCUAAAGCAUCCGUAGCCUGCUUUGUUAGUUUUCGGUUAAAUCCAUACGCUCAACGUAUGGGCUGCCGGGAAUACUGCAAAGCUAGGGAGUGGGAGAGGUAGACGGUACUCGGUAGGAAGGGGUAAAAUCCUUUGAUCUAUUGAUGACCACCUGUGGCGAAGGCGGUCUACCAGAACACGUUCGACGGUGAGGGAUGAAAGCUGGGGGAGCAAACCGGAUUAGAGACCCGAGUAGUCC